Molecule: ribosomal RNA, 254 nt
Filed under: uncultured bacterium
Lineage: Bacteria
Description: partial 16S ribosomal RNA
Rfam family: Bacterial small subunit ribosomal RNA
Source: RNAcentral
UACGAAGGGGGCUAGCGUUGCUCGGAAUUACUGGGCGUAAAGCGCACGUAGGCGGAUCUUUAAGUCAGGGGUGAAAUCCUGUAGCUCAACUCCAGAACUGCCUUUGAUACUGAGGACCUUGAGUUCGGGAGAGGUGAGUGGAACUGCGAGUGUAGAGGUGAAAAUUCGUAGAUAUUCGCAAGAACACCAGUGGCGAAGGCGGCUCACUGGCCCGAUACUGACGCUGAGGUGCGAAAGCGUGGGGAGCGAACAGG